AAUACUUUAUGCGAGGGAAAAAAACUCUUGCUUUCCUCGAUCCCUUAUGUAGAGCUCACAGCUGCGUGGCUUGGAUUCCAAUUUGCGGUUUUGAAAUUUGGGGCUAGAGAGGGAGGCAAAUUGUGCAGCUGAUUAUAUAGCUAACAAGGCUUUGUCAAGGGAUGUGCAGGUUUUUCAGGGAGAGACCCUAGAACUUGAAUUUGCUGGAAUUAUCAGGAUGCAAAUGGGCUACCAGUGCAAGAGUUUUUUUUUCAGCUGUUUGAAAUGCAAUGGAUAUGUUGCCUUAUUUAUGAAUUCAUACUUUAUUUUGCUGAACUAUGGUGUAUGCUAUUACAAAGAUGUAAUAUUACUCAACCAUACAGCCACGAUAUAUGGAUUUCAGCAAAUAUUCAACAUCCAUGGCAGGCAAGUUUGAGCUCACUGUAUCAACAAUGGAGGACAUUUUGUUCAUCCAACUGCAACAAUAUUUUUGUUAUAGAAUUAUUCUGCUCAAAAUAGUGGUCUC
Molecule: non-coding RNA, 505 nt
Organism: Elaeis guineensis (African oil palm)
Lineage: Eukaryota; Viridiplantae; Streptophyta; Magnoliopsida; Arecales; Arecaceae
Source: RefSeq, a predicted model, not a curated record